UACGGGGGGGGCAAGCGUUGUUCGGAAUUACUGGGCGUAAAGGGCUCGUAGGUGGCCAACUAAGUCAGACGUGAAAUCCCUCAGCUUAACUGGGGAACUGCGUCUGAUACUGGAUGGCUUGAGAUUGGGAGAGGGAUGCGGAAUUCCAGGUGUAGAGGUGAAAUGCGUAGAUAUCUGGAGGAACACCGGUGGCGAAGGCGGCAUCCUGGGCCAACACUGACACUGAGGAGCGAAAGCCAGGGGAGCAAACGGG
This 253-nucleotide ribosomal RNA is filed under the name uncultured bacterium. Its description in RNAcentral is "partial 16S ribosomal RNA". It matches the Rfam family "Bacterial small subunit ribosomal RNA", at positions 524 to 776 of the family's 1533-position model. The record is from RNAcentral.